AAACGGUGGUGCAGUAUUCUAGUCGGUACUGCCGGUUUCGAAGACGGGCCUAAAAAUCCGUUAAAGGGCAUAUCGAUGAAGUUUCUGGUGUUGGCUGCUGACGCCCAGUCGGGAGCUGAUGCUGGGAGUUAAGGAAGAGGGGCGAUCCGUAAUGGCAUACGGGCGAAUGACCCAGCUUCCGUGGAGACCCUGUAGGUUGUUUGACGAAACGAAAGAGCUACUGAAUGGGAUUAAACCUGCUAUGCGGUUCGCAGCUGUGUGCAGUGUAGCCUGCCUUGCGUUGGCGCAGAGGGAUAGGAGGAGCGUAGGCCAUUUCAGGCCAGAAGUGGUUUACACGCCUGUACUCCUUGAAACUGCGGAUGGCAAAAGAGGAUAGAAACCGGAAUUGUGCUGUUGAGGAAAGCUCCUAGACUGUUUUUAUAAGGUGCGUUAGGGAUUAUAGUGUGGUCUAAACGGCAAUCCAGUCAUGCGUAAGGCGACUUUGCAUUAUGGGCUUUAAAGGGAAACCGCUUCUAUCGGCGACGGGAAGUAGUUCAUAGGGAAAUCCUACUGGACCUAAGCUGCAAGGUCUAUCUAACGUAUCACCACCGAUUAAAAA
RNAcentral lists this small RNA (598 nucleotides) under human gut metagenome. The record is from RNAcentral.